This 419-nucleotide ribosomal RNA is filed under the name uncultured Anaerolineaceae bacterium. RNAcentral's name for it is "bacterial SSU rRNA". It matches the Rfam family "Bacterial small subunit ribosomal RNA", at positions 945 to 1382 of the family's 1533-position model. Lineage: Bacteria; Bacillati; Chloroflexota; Anaerolineae; Anaerolineales; Anaerolineaceae. The record is from RNAcentral.
UUUAAUUCGAUGAUACGCGAGGAACCUUACUGGGUUUAAAUGGGAAGUGACAGACUUGGAAACAGGUUUUUCUUCGGACACUUUUUCAAGGUGCUGCAUGGUUGUCGUCAGCUCGUGCCGUGAGGUGUCGGGUUAAGUCCCAUAACGAGCGCAACCCUCGUCGUAUGUUAUAUGUGUCAUACGAGACUGCCGGUAAAAGCCGGAGGAAGGUGAGGAUGAUGUCAAGUCAGCAUGACCUUUAUAUCCAGGGCUACACACACGCUACAAUGGUCUGUACAAUGGGUAGCCAAGCCGCGAGGCGGAGCCAAUCCUGAAAGCAGGCCUCAGUUCAGAUUGCAGUCUGCAACUCGACUGCAUGAAGCCGGAGUUGCUAGUAACCGCAGGUCAGCAAUACUGCGGUGAAUACGUUCCCGGGUCUU